CGGGCCGGCAAGACGGUCGCGUCGGCAUCCGCUCUCGUAUCGGAGGCCGCCGAGGAACGUCCGGGCUCCACAGAGCAGGACGGUGGGUAACACCCACCCGGGGCAACCCGCGAGACAGUGCCACAGAAAACAGACCGCUCGCGUUCGCGUGAGUAAGGGUGAAACGGUGGUGUAAGAGACCACCAGCGACCGGGGCGACCCGGCCGGCUCGGUAAACCUCGUCCGGAGCAAGGUCAGACAGGGGACCAUGAGGCUGCUCGCCUCGUUCCCGGGUAGACCGCUAGAGGGCCGCGGCAACGCGGCUCCGAGAUAGAUGGCCGUCCAGGAUGUGCCGUGCCGCAAGCACAGCACAUUCCAACAGAACCCGGCGUAUCAGCCGGCCCGUUCC
RNAcentral lists this RNase P RNA (388 nucleotides) under Planctomonas sp. JC2975. Its description in RNAcentral is "Bacterial RNase P class A". It matches the Rfam family "Bacterial RNase P class A". From Rfam's summary of the family: Ribonuclease P (RNase P) is a ubiquitous endoribonuclease, found in archaea, bacteria and eukarya as well as chloroplasts and mitochondria. Its best characterised activity is the generation of mature 5'-ends of tRNAs by cleaving the 5'-leader elements of precursor-tRNAs. Lineage: Bacteria; Bacillati; Actinomycetota; Actinomycetes; Micrococcales; Microbacteriaceae. The record is from Rfam by way of RNAcentral.